This 1580-nucleotide long non-coding RNA is filed under the name Salvia miltiorrhiza (redroot sage). RNAcentral's name for it is "long non-coding RNA (SMIL_LNC007406)". The record is from RNAcentral. Lineage: Eukaryota; Viridiplantae; Streptophyta; Magnoliopsida; Lamiales; Lamiaceae.
GAACUUAAACACAAAUUGAAAAAAGUUUUGAUAAGAAAACCCACGCCAUACAAUUUCAUUUCAAAAUUUUAACAGAAACAAAGAACCCUAAUAGCAAUUUUUCACCUUAGACGAUUCUUCACUCAUUUCUUGCCCGUUUCCACAAAAUAUAUCCAGCCGCUCAGAUCCGGGAAGAAUCGAUUAUCAGCAGAUUGAUUAUCACUUGUUCUACCAGAAGAUAAAUCCCCCAAUAAUUGCUUAUAUUGCUUUGUGAGACUAGAUCAAUUGAAGGAAAUAAAAACCCUCUGCCAUAAAAACGUAAAAACCAACCCAUCAGUUUGAGAAAUCCGCGAUUCAAGGCACAUAGGUAUUGUCGUCUUUCUCUGAUUUGAUAAAUCAUAUCAAUCACAUUUUUUUUUUUUUUUUGUUGAGUAAUUUAGUGCUUAAUACAUACUCUUCAACUUGUGAACAAGGUACAUAGGUAUCAUUUGUUUGGGAUAAAUCAAUUAGUUUGCACUGAGGAAACCGCGAGAAGUCAUAGUGGAUGUAUAUAUUAAUUUCUCAUAUCUGAUUUAUAGUGUCAUUCUUGUUUUUUUUAUUGUUGAAACUCUUUACAAAUCUCUGGUAUUUUAUUAAACAUUAAAAUUUAUGAUUUUGCAAUAUGAAGGUAUCUCCAUAUUUCUGGUAUUUUAUUAAACAUUAAAAUUUAUGAUUUUGCAAGGUAUCUCCAUAUUUUUGGAAGUUGUUUUUGCAAUAAAAAGUUGAGUCUUCAACAAUUUUGUGGUUUUUGGUUCAAUAAUUUGGCUAGAGGAAUUCAGUUUUGUGUGGAAAUAAGGAUAGUAAGAUCCACAAACACUGUAAAAUCUUUAUUAGCAUUUGUGAGAAUUCAGUUUUGUAUGCAAAAUGUAUUAGCGUUUGUGAGAUUUAUGAUGCAAAUUUGUGUUGCUUAUGAAAUUGUGUUGCCAUACAACAUUAUAAUACACGAAAAUGAUUAAAUAUUAAUAUAUUAUUGGUUGAAUAUGCUUUUCUUGUGGUGAUAUGAGUUGUAAUGUGUAUGCAGAAAUUAUUCCUACAUUUUCCUGCUACUACAAUUAGGAAUGUAAAUUAAUCUUCUUGGUUUAAUGGUGAUUUGAGCCGUGUAUUUAUGGUAAAUCACUACAAGAAAAAUAUUGAUAGACUACAUGUAAAAGACAAUUGUUUUUAUGAAAAACCAUGGUCGUUGACUCUAAAACUGUUGUCGUAGAUAAAACCGUGGUCUAUUAGCAUAUUUUUAUGCUAAAGGACCACAAAUUUUUAGUACCAUAGUGUUUUGAGCGAGGUCAUAACUAGUUUACAACAACGCUUUUGAAAAACACAUGUUAAUCACUUAAAAAAUUGUAGUCCUUUUAUUAAUUUAAUUAAUACUAAUAAAAAAACAUAAAAAUUAUGAAUAAAUGAAAUCCCUUAACCUAAACCCCCACAAAUUCGCGAUCAUCUCCUUCUCUCUUCACCAAUAUUGUUGCACCGCUUGCAAUCUGCCGCCGUGUCCCUACCACUAGGGCUGUAUACGAACCGAGCCGAGCCGAAUACUUCCAGGCUCGGGCUCAGUUCGUGAAGAUUUG